Long non-coding RNA from Oreochromis niloticus (Nile tilapia), 1479 nucleotides. RefSeq lists it as uncharacterized. The record is from RefSeq and is a predicted model, not a curated record. Lineage: Eukaryota; Metazoa; Chordata; Actinopteri; Cichliformes; Cichlidae. The transcript has 8 exons.
ACCAGGAUAGACAGCAGUAAAAGUGAGUACAUCAGAGGACAGCUCAGGUGGAGUGUUUUGACAAAGUUAAAGAGUCAAGGCUGAGACAGUUUGGACAUAGUCUGAGGGUUGGUGUGAUAGAGGCAGAUGCGGAAAAAGGACGUGAUGUGUCAAAUACAAAAAAAACCAGGAAGUCAAGUCAAGAAAGCACUUCGACCGUGUUUCACGUCAGCUACCAUGAGACUACCGAUCCUUUUAAUUUUUUUCUUUCAAGUACAAGGUGUACAAACAGCAGCAGUAGCUGAAUCACCUCAGGAAGUCUUUGGGUACUUUGGAGAAAACAUCACAUUGCCCUCAGGAGCCAACCCAUCAUGGAGUCUCAUCAAAAUUGAGUGGUCAAUAUUCACCAACAACACUUGGAUUGCCACUUCUCUGAAUGGGAAAAUAAACACUGAACGUUUCCCUCAGUACACAGGGAGACUCACUCUUAACACAACAUCAGGUGACCUAACAAUUCACAACCUGAAGGAAAGUGAUGCCAUUGAAUACACUUUAGACCUCCUCAACAGUGAGGGUGAAGACAAAGUAAAUAAGAUUAAACUCACAGUAAAACAAAAGCUGCAGCAGCCAUCCAUCCAGACAGUCACGAGCACAUCUGUAGAAAGUGGCUGUUUAAUGGUGGUGACCUGCUCUUCUCUGGAUGAGGGUGUUAACCUCUCCUGGAGUGUUGAACCAGUCAGUGUGCUCACCAUCAACAAGAGUAAUCCCAGUGACAGCUCUGCACAGCUUUUUGCAUUUGUCAGCACCAAAGAGAAUGGCAGUUUUACCUGCAUCUCCAGCAGAGAUACAGAGAGUGUUUCAUCCAAACCUGUCACACCAAAGUGUGAUAGUAAGAUCUGUGUUCCAAAUUGUACAACGCAACCUUCACCUACAUCUGUGACACAGCCCAGGGCCAGAAAUUCUAUUUGCUUCUUUGUUGGUGUUGGAGCAGGUGUCUUCAUUGCUGUUUUAAUUUACUGUUAUAGAGCAAAAAGGUCAAGAGAAAAAGAGGAAAAGAGAAAGCAGAAUGAAGAUACCAAAAAGAGAGAGAGCGCGCAAAAACAAACUGGUAAGAGUGGACAUGUAUAUACAUUAAUCAACAAAAAGAGUUAUAAUGGUAAGGUAGCUUUUUUUUUUUAACCACAAUAAUUGAUGAUGAUGAUGAUUUUACAUAACUAAGCAGUGUGUUGAACUCUACAAAUGUGGGUCUACAACCUGCUGUUAUAAUCAAUCAUAUAAGAUAAAAUGUUUGUUACUUUCUAGUUUAAUUCAAAGAGAAGGAGGAAGAGCUUGUACAAGAAGAACCAGAAAGUCCGUGUCCAGUUGUGUAUCCUAAAAACUGUAGUCUGUAGCCUCAAGAAGAAUUCCUGGUCCAGUGCUGACGGACUGAAGACCAUAUUCAAAUGAAUUAUAUAUAGAUAUAUAUAUAUGUAUGUAUAUAUAUAUACAUAUAUAUAUAUA